CUCUGGGAGAUGCCAGCACAGCAGCUGGAGCCCCCCACGGCGUGCCCACCCAGACAAGGGGAUCACCCUGGCACAGGCUCCACACCCUGGGCAGUUCUGAGACCCCCAGGGCCUGGCACCCACCUGGUGCUUGGGAGACCCCGGCAGCUGUGCUGGCACUGUGUCCCCAGGAGGGGACAGCAUGUGCUGUGCCACGUGUGAUCACACCGCCCACAGUGCAAAGGGCAGYUCAGCCCUGCCCAGGUGGCCCAGACUUUGCCGCAGGGCAGUGACACUCCUGCCUGCACAACUGUCCCGGCAGGACCCACCACGGGAUGCRCCACGUCACUGUCACCGGCCAGCCCUGCUGCUCAGAGGGGACCACGUGCCGUGGAGUCAUCCCUCAGCCCUGCUGGGAGCUCUCCUGGCAGGGAUAAGCAAUAGCUAAGGUCAAGAAUGCAAAAGUCCUUUGUGAGCAUCUAAAUUCCCACUCUGGGUUCCAUGCCACAAGACCUCCUUCACCUCACAGUUUGCUGUUCCCAUGUGCCACUGGCCUCUGGAGGGGCUGUAAGAUGGAGUGUGCUUUGAACAUCUGCUGAAAUGCAGGAAUGAGGAGYUGACUGCCAUGGCACUACAAACCCUGGCUAUGGCUCUCUCCUGCCCUUUGUAAAGGGACUCCACCGAGCAUUUGUUUAGUAUUUGCUGGCUCUGAAUGUUUGAAUACACUGCUAAAGCUGUUUGGAAGCAAGGCUGGAAAAGGUGACAGGCUGGGACUGAAAUAGCUGGGAUUGAUCUAGACCUCCACUGGAGAUAUUUGAAUAUCAAAGUGUUGCAGGCACUGCACUCCCACCACUGGCUGAGGGCUGCCUCCAGCCCUAAAUUUGAAGCAUAGGGAUGGGAUGUGAAGUGCUGACCAGCUCUUCCACAGUUGGUGAAAAGACAUCGAGAACUGCAGGUGGCAGAACACAGAAAAACCCAACAGCCAGAGAGUGAAAGCAACGUCCCCCUGGGGGAAGCUGAUAACCAGGGGGGUGGAUGCUGGAGCCACAGGCCAACUCCCCAGUGCCAGCUCUCCCCUGCCCCAAGCCUCCUGCAGCAGCCACUUCCCUCCCUUUGCAGCUCUGGGGACACAGAGUGCUGUCAGCAGCCUUUGGACUUUACCCAUUUCAACACCCCCAUCAGAUGGCAAGAAAAGCUCUUCUGUGGCUGACCACAUUUGUCUUCUCCAGCAUAAGGUGGCUCUGCACUGGCGUCCCAGCACUGAGCCAAGGUGCUGCUGAAGGUUGUGCCUGGAACACCUGGCAGCCAGGCUAGGAUAAGGUGGGUCCCUUCUCCAGGAAGCUGUUUUCCAUCYGUUCCCAAGCACUGACUGUAGGAAAGAGUGUGUGCUGUCACGCAGAGGGUUUGUGGUUCUGAAACAAGGCCAGCAGAUGCUGCAGCUGCCCGCUGUACCCUGUCUGGGCAUCCCUGCAGGAGCAAUCAUUUAAUCUCAUCUUUCUAGGUAAAGGUAAAAUUUAAGUGAAACCACAUGAAAUGAGAAACUGAAAUCCAAAUGUUUUCCAAAGUGCCACUGCCAUCUCAAUUAGUUUUCUUCCUCUUACUUAAAGUUUUGCCUUCUAGGUUUUGAGCCACUAAAAUGGGAGCUCAGAGCCAGCAGUGCCCCCCAAGGGGCUGUCACAGGUGGUCCUGGCUCCAUCCGUGCUUUUGGGAGCCAUGGCAGAUUUCAGGGCUCUUCCAGGCAGGAUUGGGGCUGCUGGCUGGAGAUCUGAGCAGUGGCUCUCUGCACACCAGGUCAUGCAGUCCCAGCCGGUGUCACCGUGUCCCUGCCUGCCAAAAGCUGCCCGGCGCCAGCCCACGUUAAUUAACCCUAAUGAGGCUCUAUGGACAGAACGCUCUGGUGACUGCACCUGUGGGAAUCUGCCGUUGGAUCAGCUGGGAAUUUGCCGUUGGAUCAGCCGGUCACUGUGACCGCGCUCAUCUCAGGGCAUCUCCCGGAUUUCAGGGAGUGUGGGAGUGGGAAUCAGCGCCCAUGCAGGAGGAUGACCACAUUUGGGACAGCCCAUGUGUCACAGACAGUUUGCUGAGUAAUGAAAGAGCAAUUACCAGCUCAGCUGGAGGCAGAGUCGCUCCUGUUUGGUUUUCCAAGGAAAAUUAUUCCAACCUCUAUUUUGUGCACAGCUUUCCUUUUGCUGUGAAUUGCAGAAGAAAUAAAAGAAAUUGAGGACUUUUUUACAAGUUUUAUGCUGGUUUGCURAAUUCCC
Malurus melanocephalus (red-backed fairy wren) is the source of this 2240-nucleotide long non-coding RNA. RefSeq lists it as uncharacterized. The transcript has 3 exons. The record is from RefSeq and is a predicted model, not a curated record. NCBI's taxonomy places the organism in Eukaryota, Metazoa, Chordata, Aves, Passeriformes, Maluridae.